Molecule: non-coding RNA, 1209 nt
Organism: Pimephales promelas (fathead minnow)
Lineage: Eukaryota; Metazoa; Chordata; Actinopteri; Cypriniformes; Leuciscidae
Source: RefSeq, a predicted model, not a curated record
UGUUGCUGCGGUAGCUAAUGUGGGUGGGAGUGGUUGGAAAUUGAGAGCAGGCAGGUAUAUAGGCACCUGGGGUCCUCAUGCCGGUAGCAAAACAUUGUAGCUAGCUGUUAAUGGGUCGGAGUGCAGCAGUAUUCCGGGGUGCGGUGUUUAGCGCAAGGUAUGUCCAAACUAUCUGUGUUGUAUGACUAUAAUGGCUAUUUGGGUUCAGUGCACUAAGGCGAUCUCUUUUUCUUACUACUGGGUUAAGGGAUUGCGAGUGACGACCAACAGCGCUAUGGUUUGUGUUUAUGCUCCCGAAACAUGCUGGAAUGUUUGGAUUGAUGAACACAGAGGAGCGUUUUUGUGACCCUGGUGAGAUUGUGCAGCUGCAAAACACUGUCUGCCCAUACGAUUGCUAGCCGGCCGGCAGGUAUGUAAGGAUUAUGAUUAUUAUGUGUGUGCGGUAAAAAGGAAAAUGUGUGUUUAGUAGCUUUAUGUAAAUAGCCUGACUGAUAAUGACUUCAUGGUUGGGCGUGUGUGCGUGUGUUUACUAGCUAUGUGUAGUAGACUACUGCUUAUGAAUUGUAUGCACACAGAGCACUUAACUGUUUUUUAUUUUAUUUUAGAAGCUACAGCCAGUCCAUUGUCGGCUGCUGUUCUCUUUGAAUGUGUAUGAAUGUGCAGGUGCUGCUUGUUAGACAUUUUGUUUGAUACUGUUUUUUUUGUUUCUUUUCUUUUUUUCUUUUCCACUAGCCGGUGGGUUGUAAGAGAAUUGUGUUGGUGAAACAAAGUGUGACCACCGGCUAGUGUUAUUUUUCUUUUUUCUUCUUAGUUUUUGUUGGUGUCUUUCCCUUCCCCAGUAAUAGUCUUGGGGUGGAUCGGGCCCAUAGGAAAGACUAGCGACCAGGUGCUAGCUUAGUUUCCUUCGUGUGGCACCCAUUAUUGGAACCAUUGUGUGUAGUGUAAUGCUGUGAGUGUGCACCUCUUAGAAGUGGCUCAAAGAGCAUGAUUGCUGUGAGUGUGUAAGCGGAGUUUAGGUUUGGCUCUACCGUAAGGGUGUGCUCUAGUUCACGGGUGGUAUUGAAACCUAGGCCUGGGUAAACUUGUCCUCCGGUGGCCCGCCCUCCUAUGGCUUAUCCCUAUGUCAUGUGAUGUAUGUUCAUGUUAUUUAUUCACAACCCUAAAUGACUCAAUUUUAACUUAAAUAAAGAUUGUAUUUUUUUUUGUUAA